Long non-coding RNA from Oreochromis aureus, 254 nucleotides. The record is from Ensembl. NCBI's taxonomy places the organism in Eukaryota, Metazoa, Chordata, Actinopteri, Cichliformes, Cichlidae.
GUCUGACAGCAGUUUGAAGAGGAAAUGGAUUCUGUUCUGUUCUUCACUCAUCACCUACCUGACAGCUGACACCUCACACCUGUUUCUCACCUGCAGGUCAGACAGGACCAUCUGCUGGAGUGAUCAUUGGAGUGAUCAUCGGUCUGAUUGUUGCUGCUGUGCUUCUUGUUGCUGCUGGAUUUUUCAUCUACAGACAUAUAAAGAACAGAAAUUUAAUUUAAGCUAGCAUCCUGAGGAACAUCAGCAAGUUUGAA